This 250-nucleotide ribosomal RNA is filed under the name uncultured prokaryote. RNAcentral's name for it is "partial 16S ribosomal RNA". It matches the Rfam family "Bacterial small subunit ribosomal RNA", at positions 524 to 773 of the family's 1533-position model. The record is from RNAcentral.
CACGUAGGUGGCGAGCGUUAUCCGGAUUUACUGGGUGUAAAGGGCGCGUAGGCGGGGAUGCAAGUCAGAUGUGAAAUCUAUGGGCUUAACUCAUAAACUGCAUUUGAAACUGUAUUUCUAGAGUGCUGGAGAGGUAGAUGGAAUUCCUUGUGUAGCGGUGUAAUGCGUAGAUAUAAGGAAGAACACCAGUGGCGAAGGCGAUCUACUGGACAGUAACUGACGCUGAGGCGCGAAAGCGUGGGGAGCAAAC